RNAcentral lists this ribosomal RNA (856 nucleotides) under Shigella flexneri 2a. RNAcentral describes it as "partial 23S ribosomal RNA". It matches the Rfam family "Bacterial large subunit ribosomal RNA", at positions 26 to 893 of the family's 2925-position model. Lineage: Bacteria; Pseudomonadati; Pseudomonadota; Gammaproteobacteria; Enterobacterales; Enterobacteriaceae. The record is from RNAcentral.
GGAUGCCUUGGCUCUCGGAGGCGAUGAAGGACGUGAUAAGCUGCGAUAAGCUUCGGGAAGGUGCAAAUAACCUUUGAUCCGAAGAUUUCCGAAUGGGACAACCCGUCAUUCUGAAGGAAUGACAUCUUGCAUAGCAAGAGGCUAACGCAGGGAACUGAAACAUCUUAGUACCUGCAGGAAAAGAAAAUAAUAAUGAUUCCCCAAGUAGUGGCGAGCGAACGGGGAUUAGCCCAAACCAAUGUUGUUACGGCAAUAUUGGGGUUGUAGGACCACGAUGUCGCAAGAACUUUAGUGAGAAGAAUUCUUUGGAAAAUGAAACCAUAGACGGUGAUAGUCCGGUAUUCGAAGCUAAACGAAGCGUAGUGGUAUCCUGAGUAGCGCGGGACACGAGGAAUCUUGCGUGAAUCUGCCGGGACCAUCCGGUAAGGCUAAAUACUCCCGAGAGACCGAUAGCGAACCAGUACUGUGAAGGAAAGGUGAAAAGCACUUCGAAUAGAAGAGUGAAAUAGUCCCUGAAACCGUGCGCCUACAAGCGGUCGGAGCAGCGUAAGUUGUGACGGCGUGCCUUUUGCAUAAUGAACCUACGAGUUACUUUUUCCGGCAAGGUUAAGCAUUUCAAAAUGUGUAGCCGAAGCGAAAGCGAGUCUGAACAGGGCGAUUAGUCGGAAGGAGUAGACGCGAAACCAAGUGAUCUACCCUUGGUCAGGUUGAAGGUUAGGUAACACUAACUGGAGGACCGAACCGAUAAGCGUUGAAAAGCUUCCGGAUGAACUGAGGGUGGGGGUGAAAGGCUAAUCAAACUUGGAGAUAGCUCGUACUCCCCGAAAUGCAUUUAGGUGCAGCCUUGGGACUUACU